CAUUGUCAACCCUCAAGCCCUGCUUGCUGUUGGACCCCUCGACGAAAGUUGACGGCCCCAAAGAUAACGACGGUGUUGUGGCAACCCCUAGACGCAAUGAGCUUUAACACGCACGCGUCACAGCGGUGUUGCAACCCAGUCUUUAAACAAUUAUUCCAAGGUUUGACCUCGGAUCAGGUAGGAAUACCCGCUGAACUUAA
RNAcentral lists this unclassified non-coding RNA (200 nucleotides) under soil metagenome. RNAcentral describes it as "partial contains internal transcribed spacer 2 and large subunit ribosomal RNA". The record is from RNAcentral.